CCAGCAGCUGCGGUAAUUCCGGCUCCAAUAGCGUAUAUUAAAGUUGUUGCAGUUAAAAAGCUCGUAGUUGGACUUCCGGCUGCUCAGGUGGUCCGCCGAAAGGUGAGUACUACCUUGAGUGGCCUUCCUCUCGAGGACCACAUGUGCCCUUAACUGGAUGUGUGUGGGACUCGGGAUCUUUACUUUGAAAAAAUUAGAGUGUUCAAAGCAGGCCUUCGCUUGAAUACUUCAGCAUGGAAUAAUGGAAUAGGACUUUGGUUCUAUUUGUUGGUUUCAGGACCGAAGUAAUGAUUAAUAGGGACAGUCGGGGGCAUUAGUAUUUAAUUGUCAGAGGUGAAAUUCUUGGAUUUAUGAAAGACUAACUACUGCGAAAGCAUUUGCCAAGGAUGUUUUCAUCAAUCAAGAACGAAAGU
Molecule: ribosomal RNA, 413 nt
Filed under: uncultured eukaryote
Lineage: Eukaryota
Description: SSU rRNA
Rfam family: Eukaryotic small subunit ribosomal RNA
Source: RNAcentral